AUGCACGCUGGCGGCGUGCCUAAUCCAUGCCAGUCGAGCGAACAGACGAGGAGCUUGCUCCUCUGACGUUAGCGGCGGACGGGUGAGUAACACGUGGAUAACCUACCUAUAAGACUGGGAUAACUUCGGGAAACCGGAGCUAAUACCGGAUAAUAUAUUGAACCGCAUGGUUCAAUAGUGAAAGACGGUUUUGCUGUCACUUAUAGAUGGAUCCGCGCCGCAUUAGCUAGUUGGUAAGGUAACGGCUUACCAAGGCAACGAUGCGUAGCCGACCUGAGAGGGUGAUCAGCCACACUGGAACUGAGACACGGUCCAGACUCCUACGGGAGGCAGCAGUAGGGAAUCUUCCGCAAUGGGCGAAAGCCUGACGGAGCAACGCCGCGUGAGUGAUGAAGGUCUUCGGAUCGUAAAACUCUGUUAUUAGGGAAGAACAAAUGUGUAAGUAACUAUGCACGUCUUGACGGUACCUAAUCAGAAAGCCACGGCUAACUACGUG
Molecule: ribosomal RNA, 496 nt
Filed under: uncultured bacterium
Lineage: Bacteria
Description: partial 16S ribosomal RNA
Rfam family: Bacterial small subunit ribosomal RNA
Source: RNAcentral